RNAcentral lists this ribosomal RNA (607 nucleotides) under Ornithinimicrobium sp. CMT141. RNAcentral's name for it is "bacterial SSU rRNA". It matches the Rfam family "Bacterial small subunit ribosomal RNA", at positions 271 to 885 of the family's 1533-position model. The record is from RNAcentral. Lineage: Bacteria; Bacillati; Actinomycetota; Actinomycetes; Micrococcales; Ornithinimicrobiaceae.
AGGCGACGACGGGUAGCCGGCCUGAGAGGGUGACCGGCCACACUGGGACUGAGACACGGCCCAGACUCCUACGGGAGGCAGCAGUGGGGAAUAUUGCACAAUGGGCGAAAGCCUGAUGCAGCGACGCCGCGUGAGGGAUGACGGCCUUCGGGUUGUAAACCUCUUUCAGCUCUGACGAAGCCUUCGGGUGACGGUAGGAGCAGAAGAAGCACCGGCUAACUACGUGCCAGCAGCCGCGGUAAUACGUAGGGUGCGAGCGUUGUCCGGAAUUAUUGGGCGUAAAGAGCUUGUAGGCGGUUUGUCGCGUCUGCUGUGAAAGCCCGGGGCUUAACCCCGGGUCUGCAGUGGGUACGGGCAGGCUAGAGUGUGGUAGGGGAGACUGGAAUUCCUGGUGUAGCGGUGGAAUGCGCAGAUAUCAGGAGGAACACCGAUGGCGAAGGCAGGUCUCUGGGCCACUACUGACGCUGAGAAGCGAAAGCGUGGGGAGCGAACAGGAUUAGAUACCCUGGUAGUCCACGCCGUAAACGUUGGGCGCUAGGUGUGGGUCCCAUUCCACGGGGUCCGUGCCGCAGCUAACGCAUUAAGCGCCCCGCCUGGGGGAGUACGG